This 774-nucleotide ribosomal RNA is filed under the name uncultured Neocallimastigales. RNAcentral describes it as "partial large subunit ribosomal RNA". It matches the Rfam family "Eukaryotic large subunit ribosomal RNA", at positions 23 to 616 of the family's 3401-position model. The record is from RNAcentral. Lineage: Eukaryota; Fungi; Neocallimastigomycota; Neocallimastigomycetes; Neocallimastigales.
AGAGAGAGACAUGCGCGCAUAUCAAUAAGCGGAGGAAAAGAAACUAACAAGGAUUCCCCUAGUAACGGCGAGUGAAGCGGGAAGAGCUCAAAUUUGAAAUCUUAAAGGGUUUCCCUUUACGAAUUGUAGUUUAAAGAAGUGUUUUCUGUUGAGGUUUUGGUAAAAGUUCUUUGGAAUAGGACAUCACUAGAGGGUGAGAAUCCCGUAUUUGACCUUUACUUCAACUUUGUGAUACACUUUCAAAGAGUCGGAUUGUUUGGGAAUGCAGUCCAAAAUGGGUGGUAAAUUUCAUCUAAAGCUAAAUAUUGGCGAGAGACCGAUAGCGAACAAGUACCGUGAGGGAAAGAUGAAAAGAACUUUGAAAAGAGAGUUAAACAGUACGUGAAAUUGUCAAAAGGGAAGCGUUUGACACCAGUGCUGUUUUUCUGAAAAUCAAUUAAAGAACUGUUUAUGCUAAGUUGUUUAGACUUUAUCAGCUAACUGUUUAGUUUUGAGCUUUUCUUUAAUGCACUUUUCAGUUAACAAGUCAACAUCAAUUUCUUUUGCUGUAAAAAAGCUUGAGGAAGGUGGCUUGAGAUUCGUCUUAAGUGUUUAUAGCCUCUUGCCUAUGCAGUCGGAGAGAUUGAGGUCUGCAGCGUAGAUCCUUCGGGGCUAAAUGCAUUUGUGCUAAGUUAUAGCAUUUUAUAGACAACUUGUUGACUAUGAUUUGUCUUGUAGCUUACUCGCUUAUGUUAUUUUACCUACGCUUAGGAUGUUGAGCGCAUGUCUCUCUCU